This 670-nucleotide ribosomal RNA is filed under the name uncultured bacterium. RNAcentral's name for it is "bacterial SSU rRNA". It matches the Rfam family "Bacterial small subunit ribosomal RNA", at positions 140 to 851 of the family's 1533-position model. The record is from RNAcentral.
GGGACAACAGUUGGAAACGACUGCUAAUACCGCAUAAUCCCUGAGGGGGAAAGAUUUAUCGCUUUAAGAUUGGCCCGCGGAAGAUUAGGUAGUUGGUGGGGUAAAGGCCUACCAAGCCGACGAUCUAUAGCUGGUCUGAGAGGACGAACAGCCACAUUGGAACUGAGACACGGUCCAGACUCCUACGGGAGGCAGCAGUGAGGAAUAUUGGGCAAUGGAGGAAACUCUGACCCAGCCAUGCCGCGUGAGUGAAGAAGGUUUUCGAAUUGUAAAGCUCUUUCGGAUGGGACGAUGAUGACGGUACCAUCUAAAGAAGCCCCGGCAAACUUCGUGCCAGCAGCCGCGGUAAUACGAAGGGGGCAAGCGUUGUUCGGAAUUACUGGGCGUAAAGGGUGUGUGGGCGGAUUUGUAAGAUAGUGGUGAAAUACCUGAGCUCAACUUAGGAAUUGCCAUUAUAACUAUAGAUCUGGAGUGACAGAGAGGAUAUUGGAAUACCCAGUGUAGAGGUGAAAUUCGUAGAUAUUGGGUAGAACACCAGUGGCGAAGGCGAGUAUCUGGCUGUCAACUGACGCUGAGGCACGAAAGCAUGGGGAUCAAACAGGAUUAGAUACCCUGGUAGUCCAUGCUGUAAACGAUGAAUGCUAGUUGUCGGCAAAAGCCGGUGACGCAG